RNAcentral lists this ribosomal RNA (246 nucleotides) under uncultured bacterium. Its description in RNAcentral is "partial 16S ribosomal RNA". It matches the Rfam family "Bacterial small subunit ribosomal RNA", at positions 114 to 354 of the family's 1533-position model. The record is from RNAcentral.
CGUAAAGACAACCUACGCCUACUCAGAGGGGAAGUAACAGUGAGAAAUCAUUGCUAAUACCGCAUAAGCUAGUAGUAUCACAUGAUACAGCUAGAAAAGGAGUAAUCCGCUGAUAGAUGGGCUUGCGCCUGAUUAGCUAGUUGGUGGGGUAACGGCCUACCAAGGCGACGAUCAGUAGCCGAACUGAGAGGUUGAACGGCCACAUUGGGACUGAGAUACGGCCCAGACUCCUACGGAAGGCAGCAG